Molecule: long non-coding RNA, 488 nt
Organism: Bombus pascuorum
Lineage: Eukaryota; Metazoa; Arthropoda; Insecta; Hymenoptera; Apidae
Exons: 2
Source: RefSeq, a predicted model, not a curated record
GGGUACAAUCGAUGGAUUCGAAAAUGGAGACUAGACCAUGAUCGUCUGUGAAGGUAGUGGCCAUUAACAAUAGCACGUUAGGGUGUCGAAUCUCCCUAAACAGAAACAUAAAUAUUACAAAAUGAAAAGAUAAUGCUUAUGUAUGGUUUCCACUUGUCUCCUUUGAUAUUAUUCGCGAAAAUUACUCUAUUAAUUAUUUUUCUUUUUUAAACUGUCGGUUUAAGACAUGCGAAGAUCGUAAAACGUAUAACAUGUAUAAACUGCUUUGUGUAAAUUCAUAUUUUUGAGAAUAAAAUGAAAGAGACGCAUCGAUAAAAGUCCAUCGUUUUAUAGAGUAUCGAUCGGUACGUACGAAAGCACAUCUAAAUCCGCUUUCACAGCAUCUUUGCAUUCCGGAUGCGAAUGCCUCUUCAGUGAAACUCGUGUAUUUUGCCAUUCUGCAAAAAUCAAUUCCAGAUAUCGAUCUUCCGUGCCCGCUAUCCAUCCAA